AAAAAGACGAUGACUUUGAAGUCUACAAGUCAUAUUUCUGUGAACGAGUGAACUGGCAACAUGUCGAGCCCGUAAGUAACUAGGUUUUUCCUAUAGAAAUUAUAGCAAGUCACAGUAAAAUCUUGAACCCAGAACAAGAACAACAACAGCAGUUGGAUCAAUUGGUUCCUCGGAAUCAAGGGCAACGAGUACUGCCCACGCUGUAAAAACUACUUCCAUCCUAAAACUGAUACACAGCCAUGUUCGGGCCCAGCUGUCCGGACAUCUUAACGCAGCUGCCGAACUUGAGACCGCCCCUGGACGACCCACGGUAAGUAAUUCUCCGAAUAUAGUCCUGGUUGUUUUCUAAACAAAAGCCUUGAACUUGCAGUCCCUAUGCUUUCGGGUGCACCAGAAGGCCUUGAUGCCACUUAAAUCGCCCAAGUCCUCACCAAAGAAUAUCGGAUCCUCGGCCAGCUAGUCCUCCUCCUCGCUCCGGCAUUCCGAAGUCAAGCGCUUCAAUGUUCUUCUAGGGAUGACGUGAUUUUUUAACUCCACACAAAAGAAAGCAGAAAUGUUUGUCCGAUAUAUUGUUGUUGCAAUUAAACAGAUUCCGCAGUGCGUUGAUAUGGCCAGCUACCACCUACUAAUACAUCUCAUACACCUCUGCCCUAAAUACUUGGUUCAGUGUUCGGUCCAAGCUGGUCAUAUCAAGCACUCAUUCGAGUAGCAAAGCAAUUAACAUUCGUUAAUAGUGGUAAUCACCUGGGUGUAAUAAUAAUAUUAAUCAAUAAAACAUUCAAUUCAGUUUUUUAUUUAAUGUUAUGUUAAAAGAGUUUCCAAAAGUGUUUUCCUGACUACAUCAAAUAUUUUUUGAUAAUUUAAUUUCUUUAAAUAUACAAAUUCUAUACAAAUAGGAGUGAGUAGAAGGUUAAAACAUUAUUUUCAAUUUAAAAAAAAAUUAUAAUUUUGAUUCCAUCUUUUUUAUGUAAUUCUUUUUGUAGAGUAUUCAAUACUGGCAACUUCGUAUUUUAGUUUGAUUUCCCAUGCUGUUUUUGGUUAAUUUCCAACGUACCAGAUUGAUUUCGCGCGUAAAUUUAAACGCACUUUAUUGCCUUUUUGGAAGAACGUUGCUUCAAAACGGAAAAUCGAAGGAAACCCUGACCGGACCUAAGGGACAGCCUUGGGGGGAAAACUGGCACUGCAUUUUCCCAGCCCCAAAGAUUUUCCCCGGCACGUCGGGGAACUUAUUAUGAAAUAAAAGAACUAAUACUUAUUAUGCCAGCCGAACAUAAAACGAAUUUUCGAGUCUAGAGUUCCCAUCUGCAAGGGCAUGACAGAGUCCUGG
Non-coding RNA from Drosophila melanogaster (fruit fly), 1327 nucleotides. Lineage: Eukaryota; Metazoa; Arthropoda; Insecta; Diptera; Drosophilidae. The record is from Ensembl.